This 516-nucleotide ribosomal RNA is filed under the name uncultured Glomus. RNAcentral describes it as "SSU rRNA". It matches the Rfam family "Eukaryotic small subunit ribosomal RNA", at positions 579 to 1099 of the family's 1831-position model. Lineage: Eukaryota; Fungi; Glomeromycota; Glomeromycetes; Glomerales; Glomeraceae. The record is from RNAcentral.
GUAUUCCGCUCCAUAGCGUAUAUUAAAGUUGUUGCAGUUAAAAAGCUCGUAGUUGAAUUUCGGGGUCAGUAGGCUGGUCGUGCCACAGGUACGUACUGGUCUCACUGAUUCCUCCUUCCCGAUGAACCGUAAUGCCAUUAAUUUGGUGUUGCGGGGAAACUGGACUGUUACUUUGAAAAAAUUAGAGUGUUUAAAGCAGGCUAACGCUUGAAUACAUUAGCAUGGAAUAAUGAAAUAGGACGUUCGAUCCUAUUUUGUUGGUUUCUAGGAUUGACGUAAUGAUUAAUAGGGAUAGUUGGGGGCAUUAGUAUUCAAUUGUCAGAGGUGAAAUUCUUGGAUUUAUUGAAGACUAACUACUGCGAAAGCAUUUGCCAAGGAUGUUUUCAUUAAUCAAGAACGAAAGUUAGGGGAUCGAAGACGAUCAGAUACCGUCGUAGUCUUAACCAUAAACUAUGCCGACUAGGGAUCGGAUGAUGUUAAUUUUUUAAUGACUCAUUCGGCACCUUACGGGAAACA